AUUGAACGCUGGCGGCAUGCCUUACACAUGCAAGUCGAACGGCAGCAUGAUCUAGCUUGCUAGAUUGAUGGCGAGUGGCGAACGGGUGAGUAAUACAUCGGAACGUGCCCUGUAGUGGGGGAUAACUAGUCGAAAGAUUAGCUAAUACCGCAUACGACCUGAGGGUGAAAGUGGGGGACCGCAAGGCCUCAUGCUAUAGGAGCGGCCGAUGUCUGAUUAGCUAGUUGGUGGGGUAAAGGCCCACCAAGGCGACGAUCAGUAGCUGGUCUGAGAGGACGAUCAGCCACACUGGGACUGAGACACGGCCCAGACUCCUACGGGAGGCAGCAGUGGGGAAUUUUGGACAAUGGGGGCAACCCUGAUCCAGCAAUGCCGCGUGUGUGUAGAAGGCCUUCGGGUUGUAAAGCACUUUUGUCCGGAAAGAAAUCGCACUUACUAAUAUUAGGUGUGGAUGACGGUACCGGAAGAAUAAGGACCGGCUAACUACGUG
RNAcentral lists this ribosomal RNA (490 nucleotides) under uncultured bacterium. RNAcentral's name for it is "partial 16S ribosomal RNA". It matches the Rfam family "Bacterial small subunit ribosomal RNA", at positions 30 to 507 of the family's 1533-position model. The record is from RNAcentral.